This is a small nucleolar RNA of Vicia villosa (hairy vetch), 107 nucleotides long. Lineage: Eukaryota; Viridiplantae; Streptophyta; Magnoliopsida; Fabales; Fabaceae. The record is from RefSeq and is a predicted model, not a curated record.
AUGCCAUGGUAUAUGCAUUAUCUAAGCGAUUCUUUAAAUCUUUCCCAAGCAUCAAAUAAAGAUUCAUCAUCUCCUUGCCUAAAUGAAGUGAUUUCAUUUCUCAUUUU